This 390-nucleotide ribosomal RNA is filed under the name Triticum aestivum (bread wheat). RNAcentral describes it as "partial small subunit ribosomal RNA". Lineage: Eukaryota; Viridiplantae; Streptophyta; Magnoliopsida; Poales; Poaceae. The record is from RNAcentral.
AUGUUAGGGGGUGCAGGAUUGUGGUGUGGGCGCGCGCAUGCAUGCGGAGCAGCUGCAGGAGAUUGGCUCGAGCAUGAGCUUGAGCUCGUCUCGGGCAUGGCGAGGCAAGACGCACCAAGGCCACGGGCUUGCAAUCGACGCGGCCGUGCACGUCGAGGUGUAGCAGUGAAGGUGCAGCAAGUGCGGCAUGAGCAACGAAGCCAGCGGGCAUGUGCACAAGCAAGAAACAGAGAAAGAGAACAGAGGAGCAUAUCAGAGCGUACGAGAAGGACAGCGAGCGAGCUCGUCGGAGGAAACUCCGGCGACGAAAAGCCACGGCGCAGGGGUGCGAUCGAUGCACGUGACAAACCCGCACUCCUACGUGCCACUCACAGCAUCGAACGACGAUAG